This 432-nucleotide ribosomal RNA is filed under the name uncultured bacterium. Its description in RNAcentral is "partial 16S ribosomal RNA". It matches the Rfam family "Bacterial small subunit ribosomal RNA", at positions 29 to 506 of the family's 1533-position model. The record is from RNAcentral.
AACGAACGCUGGCGGCAUGCCUAACACAUGCAAGUCGAACGAGACCUUCGGGUCUAGUGGCGCACGGGUGCGUAACGCGUGGGAACCUGCCCUUAGGUUCGGAAUAACUCCCCGAAAGGGGUGCUAAUACCGGAUAAUGUCUUCGGACCAAAGAUUUAUCGCCUUUGGAUGGGCCCGCGUUGGAUUAGCUAGUUGGUAGGGUAAAAGCCUACCAAGGCGACGAUCCAUAGCUGGUCUGAGAGGAUGAUCAGCCACACUGGGACUGAGACACGGCCCAGACUCCUACGGGAGGCAGCAGUGGGGAAUAUUGGACAAUGGGCGAAAGCCUGAUCCAGCAAUGCCGCGUGAGUGAUGAAGGCCUUAGGGUUGUAAAGCUCUUUUACCCGGGAUGAUAAUGGCAGUACCGGGAGAAUAAGCUCCGGCUAACUCCGU